Molecule: long non-coding RNA, 384 nt
Filed under: Androctonus crassicauda
Lineage: Eukaryota; Metazoa; Arthropoda; Arachnida; Scorpiones; Buthidae
Source: RNAcentral
UGAUAGGUCUCGAUAUUGGAGAUCCUAUAAAAACGAUCAUGGGAAGUAUCUCGGGGGAACUCAGGAAAAACCCGACAAGGGAGAAGACGCAAGAGGAGAAGAGAAUUUUGCCUAACGAUCGUCUAUCGCCUUUGUUUUUCGUCUCCGUCGUUUCGUCGGAACUGACUUUCUAUUGCUGUGACUAUCGCCGAUGCAGACUUUUCAACCAUUUUUCUACAUCUGAACUUUUCUCGAGAGGCGUCUCCUUAAUCGUGCUACCCGAAGGCAAAAGUGAAGGAAUCCUGACUCCUCUCCAACGAACUUUACAGACCAACAACCGCUGACGCCCCUGAAUCGGAAUAUCGAGUAUACUCCUCACCUACCAGGUAUUUAACAAAAUGUCGG